CUUCCUCCACCAGUGCCAAUCUACAAGAAACCUCUCCCUCCCCACAUCCCAGUGUACAAGAAGCCUCUUCCACCACCAAUCCCAGUAUACAAGAAGCCUCUUCCACCACCAGUCCCAAUAUACAAGAAGCCUCUUCCACCACCAAUCCCAGUAUACAAGAAGCCUCUUCCACCACCAGUCCCAGUAUACAAGAAGCCACUUCCACCACCAGUCCCAAUAUACAAAAAGCCACUUCCCCCACUAGUCCCAGUAUACAAAAAGCCUCUUCCCCCACCAAUUCCCAUAUACACAAAGCCAUUUCCACCACCAGUCCCAUUCUUUAAGCCAAAGCCAAAGCCACAUCCAUUCUUUAAGCCAAAGCCAAAGCCACAUCCAUUCUUUAAGCCUCACCCUCCACUGCCAAAGAUUCCUCAUCCAUUCUUUAAGCCUCUCCCUCCAUUGCCAAAGAUUCCUCACCCAUUCUUUAAGAAGCCACCAAUCCCACCACUCCACCCAAAAUAUUACUUCCCCCACCCAAAGGAUGGCAAGUUCCCACCCAUGCCACCUUUGGUUCCUCAAUAUCC
This 563-nucleotide long non-coding RNA is filed under the name Malus domestica (apple). Its description in RNAcentral is "long non-coding RNA (MDOM_LNC009353)". The record is from RNAcentral. Lineage: Eukaryota; Viridiplantae; Streptophyta; Magnoliopsida; Rosales; Rosaceae.